GUCUGGCUGACGAGUCCCAAAUAGGACGAAACGCGCGUCCUGGAU
Molecule: non-coding RNA, 45 nt
Organism: Schistosoma curassoni
Lineage: Eukaryota; Metazoa; Platyhelminthes; Trematoda; Strigeidida; Schistosomatidae
Source: Rfam